This 777-nucleotide ribosomal RNA is filed under the name uncultured Neocallimastigales. RNAcentral describes it as "partial large subunit ribosomal RNA". It matches the Rfam family "Eukaryotic large subunit ribosomal RNA", at positions 26 to 632 of the family's 3401-position model. The record is from RNAcentral. Lineage: Eukaryota; Fungi; Neocallimastigomycota; Neocallimastigomycetes; Neocallimastigales.
CGUCUAUAUACGUAUAGCAUAUCAAUAAGCGGAGGAAAAGAAACUAACAUAGGAUUCCCUCAGUAACGGCGAGUGAAGCGGGAAGAGCUCAAAUUUGAAAUCUUCAAGGUUUUACCUUGACGAAUUGUAGUUUAAAGAAGUGUUUUCUGUUGGAAGUUUUGGUAAAAGUUCUUUGGAAAUAGGACAUCAUAGAGGGUGAGAAUCCCGUAUUUGACCAUUAUUUCCAACUUUGUGAUACACUUUCAAAGAGUCGGAUUGUUUGGGAAUGCAGUCCAAAAUGGGUGGUAAAUUUCAUCUAAAGCUAAAUACUGGCGAGAGACCGAUAGCGAACAAGUACCGUGAGGGAAAGAUGAAAAGAACUUUGAAAAGAGAGUUAAACAGUACGUGAAAUUGUCAAAAGGGAAGCGUUUGACACCAGUGUUGUUUUCUCGAAAAUCAAUUAAAAAUGGCAGGAUUUUGUGUUGUAUUGACUUUAUCAGCUUUCUGCACUUUUUUCUUGUCUUUUUUAAUGCACUUUUCGUUUAACAAGUCAACAUCAAUUUCUUUUGUUGUAAAAGGGUCAUUGGAAGGUGGCUUUCUUUUCGGAGAAAGUGUUUAUAGCCUUUGACUUCUGCAGUCGGAGAGAUUGAGGUCUGCAGCGUAGAUCCUUCGGGGUUAGAUACAUUUGUGCUAAGUUAUAGCCUUUCAUAGACAACUUGUUGACUAUGAUCAGUCAUGUAGCUUACUCGCUUAUGUUAUUUUACCUACGCUUAGGAUGUUGAUCUGUAGUGCGUGCGC